UNAACGUUGUGAANUAGGUGUUGGUCGGAUUGACCCGAUCAGUGCCGCAGCUAACGCAUUAAGUUCACCGCCUGGGGACUACGGCCGCAAGGUUAAAACUCAAAGGAAUAGGCGGGGGCCCGCACAAGCAGCGGAGCGUGUGGUUUAAUUCGAGGCAACGCGAAGAACCUUACCUGGGUUUGACAUGCAUAGGAAAUUUUGGUGAAAGCCAGAACCUCCCGCCAAGGGACUUAUGCGCAGGUGGUGCAUGGCUGUCGUCAGCUCGUGCCGUGAGGUGUUGGGUUAAGUCCCGCAACGAGCGCAACCCCCUGUCCUUAGUUGAAUGUUCUAGGGAGACUGCCGGGCGAAACCCGGAGAAAGGUGGGGAUGACGUCAAGUCCGCAUGCCCUUUAUAUCCAGGGCUACACACACGCUACAAUGGCCGGUACAACGGGUCCCGACACGGCGACGUGAAGGCAAUCCCUUAAAGCCGGUCUCAGUUCGGAUUGCAGGCUGCAACUCGCCUGCAUGAAGUCGGAGUUGCUAGUAACCGCAGGUCAGCACACUGCGGUGAAUACGUUCCCGGGCCUUGCACUCACCGCCCGUCACAUCACUUGAAUCUGUUGCUCCCGAAGUCGCUGGCCGAACCCGCAAGGGACGGAGGCGCCGAAGGAGUGGCCGGUGAGAGGGGUGAAGUCGUAACAAGGUACC
This 690-nucleotide ribosomal RNA is filed under the name uncultured bacterium. RNAcentral's name for it is "bacterial SSU rRNA". It matches the Rfam family "Bacterial small subunit ribosomal RNA", at positions 803 to 1500 of the family's 1533-position model. The record is from RNAcentral.